This 490-nucleotide ribosomal RNA is filed under the name uncultured bacterium. RNAcentral describes it as "partial 16S ribosomal RNA". It matches the Rfam family "Bacterial small subunit ribosomal RNA", at positions 30 to 507 of the family's 1533-position model. The record is from RNAcentral.
AUUGAACGCUGGCGGCAUGCUUUACACAUGCAAGUCGAACGGCAGCGGGGUAGUGCUUGCACUACUGCCGGCGAGUGGCGAACGGGAGAGUAAUAUAUCGAAACGUACCGAGUAGUGGAGGAUAACAAAGCGAAAGAUUUGCUAAUACCGCAUACGUCCUGAGGGAGAAAGCGGGGGAGCGCAAGAGCUCGCGUAAUUCGAGCGGCCGAUAACUGUUUAGCUAGUUGGGUGGGUAAAGGCCUACCAAGGGGAGGAUCAGUAGGCGGUCUGAGAGGACGAACCGGCAACCUGGGACUGAGACACGGCCCCAACUCCUACGGGAGGGAGGAGUGGGGAAAUUUGGACAAUGGGGGCAACCCUUAUCCAGCCAUGGCGGGUGUAUUAAGGAGGCCUUCGAGUUGUAAAGUCUUUUUUUUAGGGAAGAAAAGGGAAGUGCUAAUACCACUUUUUGCUGACGGUAACUAAAGAAUAAGCACCGGCUAACUACGUG